Molecule: ribosomal RNA, 406 nt
Filed under: uncultured bacterium
Lineage: Bacteria
Description: partial 16S ribosomal RNA
Rfam family: Bacterial small subunit ribosomal RNA
Source: RNAcentral
AUUGAACGCUGGCGGCAGGCCUAACACAUGCAAGUCGAACGCGUGGCGGACGGGUGAGUAAUGUCUGGGCAACUGCCUGAUGGAGGGGGAUAACUACUGGAAACGGUCGCUACUUCCUCAUACCAUCAGCUGUGCCCAGAUGGGAUUAGCUAGUUGGUGGGGUAACGGCUCACCAAGGCGACGAUCCCUAGCUGGUCUGAGAGGAUGCCCACCCACACGGGAACUGAGACACGGUCCAGACUCCUACGGGAGGCAGCAGUGGGGAAUAUUGCACAAUGGGCGCAAGCCUGAUGCAGCCAUGCCGCGUGUAUGAAGAAGGCCUUCGGGUUGUAAAGUACUUUCAGCGGGGAGGCGUUACCCGCAGAAGAAGCACCGGCUAACUCCGUGCCAGCAGCCGCGGUAAUUC